Molecule: ribosomal RNA, 1476 nt
Filed under: Lacticaseibacillus casei
Lineage: Bacteria; Bacillati; Bacillota; Bacilli; Lactobacillales; Lactobacillaceae
Description: bacterial SSU rRNA
Rfam family: Bacterial small subunit ribosomal RNA
Source: RNAcentral
GGCUCAGGAUGAACGCUGGCGGCGUGCCUAAUACAUGCAAGUCGAACGAGUUCUCGUUGAUGAUCGGUGCUUGCACCGAGAUUCAACAUGGAACGAGUGGCGGACGGGUGAGUAACACGUGGGUAACCUGCCCUUAAGUGGGGGAUAACAUUUGGAAACAGAUGCUAAUACCGCAUAGAUCCAAGAACCGCAUGGUUCUUGGCUGAAAGAUGGCGUAAGCUAUCGCUUUUGGAUGGACCCGCGGCGUAUUAGCUAGUUGGUGAGGUAAUGGCUCACCAAGGCGAUGAUACGUAGCCGAACUGAGAGGUUGAUCGGCCACAUUGGGACUGAGACACGGCCCAAACUCCUACGGGAGGCAGCAGUAGGGAAUCUUCCACAAUGGACGCAAGUCUGAUGGAGCAACGCCGCGUGAGUGAAGAAGGCUUUCGGGUCGUAAAACUCUGUUGUUGGAGAAGAAUGGUCGGCAGAGUAACUGUUGUCGGCGUGACGGUAUCCAACCAGAAAGCCACGGCUAACUACGUGCCAGCAGCCGCGGUAAUACGUAGGUGGCAAGCGUUAUCCGGAUUUAUUGGGCGUAAAGCGAGCGCAGGCGGUUUUUUAAGUCUGAUGUGAAAGCCCUCGGCUUAACCGAGGAAGCGCAUCGGAAACUGGGAAACUUGAGUGCAGAAGAGGACAGUGGAACUCCAUGUGUAGCGGUGAAAUGCGUAGAUAUAUGGAAGAACACCAGUGGCGAAGGCGGCUGUCUGGUCUGUAACUGACGCUGAGGCUCGAAAGCAUGGGUAGCGAACAGGAUUAGAUACCCUGGUAGUCCAUGCCGUAAACGAUGAAUGCUAGGUGUUGGAGGGUUUCCGCCCUUCAGUGCCGCAGCUAACGCAUUAAGCAUUCCGCCUGGGGAGUACGACCGCAAGGUUGAAACUCAAAGGAAUUGACGGGGGCCCGCACAAGCGGUGGAGCAUGUGGUUUAAUUCGAAGCAACGCGAAGAACCUUACCAGGUCUUGACAUCUUUUGAUCACCUGAGAGAUCAGGUUUCCCCUUCGGGGGCAAAAUGACAGGUGGUGCAUGGUUGUCGUCAGCUCGUGUCGUGAGAUGUUGGGUUAAGUCCCGCAACGAGCGCAACCCUUAUGACUAGUUGCCAGCAUUUAGUUGGGCACUCUAGUAAGACUGCCGGUGACAAACCGGAGGAAGGUGGGGAUGACGUCAAAUCAUCAUGCCCCUUAUGACCUGGGCUACACACGUGCUACAAUGGAUGGUACAACGAGUUGCGAGACCGCGAGGUCAAGCUAAUCUCUUAAAGCCAUUCUCAGUUCGGACUGUAGGCUGCAACUCGCCUACACGAAGUCGGAAUCGCUAGUAAUCGCGGAUCAGCACGCCGCGGUGAAUACGUUCCCGGGCCUUGUACACACCGCCCGUCACACCAUGAGAGUUUGUAACACCCGAAGCCGGUGGCGUAACCCUUUUAGGGAGCGAGCCGUCUA